This is a long non-coding RNA of Triticum aestivum (bread wheat), 758 nucleotides long. RefSeq lists it as uncharacterized. Lineage: Eukaryota; Viridiplantae; Streptophyta; Magnoliopsida; Poales; Poaceae. The record is from RefSeq and is a predicted model, not a curated record. The transcript has 4 exons.
UGGCGGCAGCGUGUCGGGCUUCGUCGCCGAGGUUGCCACCCUCUUCAUCGACGACGCCGACUGGAUCAUCAACGACAUCGGCAGCCUGCUGGACGCCGGCGGAACCUAGCCACCACUCCCCGCCGCGCCCCUCGUUGGUUACUUGUCGUGCUCGAUUUUUCCUUCCACGGACGAUUCUGUCAUUCGCCUCUACUGCCGGUGGUCGUGCCAGUCAUGCUCCUACUGGGACAUGCAUCCUUUAGCUAAAUUCAUCUUUGUUUGAUGUAGUUCUUUGUGAUCUGAAAGCAACUGACUACUCAAUACCAAUCAGUGCGUGGAGGGAACUCCUGUCCACCACGCCGGCGACAGGAACAUGGAAAACGCAGUCCACGGUGCCACCAAUGAACAAGGCCGAGACAAGCAUUGUAAGGAUCCCAGUUAGAAUGAUGCUUGAUCUCCUGUUAGAGCAUCUUGGGCUUCACAAGGCCAUCUGAGGCUCGGGCUCAAUGAGAACACAAUGAGUGUCAUCGUUCUCUCUGACACUGCUGUUCAAGACGACCGGACCUGUCCACCGCGCAUGCCCAUUACUGGUGUUCAGUCCUCCAACGACAAUAUCUACCGUGUAUGAACAUUGCAUCCUUUAAUUUACCCUGUAUAUGAACAUUUCAUUCUUCAAAUGUGUUGUACUAUCGUUCUGGUGGCUAUGGAGAUGUGUUGUACUGUAGUUUUGGUAUCCACUGAUGAUGUCUUGCUCCGAUUACACUUGAAUGUUUCUUUUU